Molecule: ribosomal RNA, 253 nt
Filed under: uncultured bacterium
Lineage: Bacteria
Description: partial 16S ribosomal RNA
Rfam family: Bacterial small subunit ribosomal RNA
Source: RNAcentral
UACGUAGGGGGCAAGCGUUGUCCGGAUUUAUUGGGCGUAAAGAGCGUGUAGGCGGCCAUGUAGGUCCGUUGUGAAAACUCGAGGCUCAACCUCGAGACGCCGAUGGAAACCAUGUGGCUAGAGUCCGGAAGAGGAGAGUGGAAUUCCUGGUGUAGCGGUGAAAUGCGUAGAUAUCAGGAGGAACACCUGUGGCGAAAGCGGCUCACUGGACCACAACUGACGCUGAGGCGCGAAAGCUAGGGGAGCAAACAGG